Molecule: ribosomal RNA, 1078 nt
Filed under: Lactiplantibacillus plantarum
Lineage: Bacteria; Bacillati; Bacillota; Bacilli; Lactobacillales; Lactobacillaceae
Description: bacterial SSU rRNA
Rfam family: Bacterial small subunit ribosomal RNA
Source: RNAcentral
AAGAAGAACUUUUUCUGAGAGUACUGUUCCAGGUAUUGGCGGGUAUUUAACCCAGAAAAGCCAGGGGCAAAUUACGUGCCAGCAGCCGCGGUAAUACGUAGGUGGCAAGCGUUGUCCGGAUUUAUUGGGCGUAAAGCGAGCGCAGGCGGUUUUUUAAGUCUGAUGUGAAAGCCUUCGGCUCAACCGAAGAAGUGCAUCGGAAACUGGGAAACUUGAGUGCAGAAGAGGACAGUGGAACUCCAUGUGUAGCGGUGAAAUGCGUAGAUAUAUGGAAGAACACCAGUGGCGAAGGCGGCUGUCUGGUCCGUAACUGACGCUGAGGCUCGAAAGUAUGGGCAGCAAACAGGAUUAGAUACCCUGGUAGUCCAUACCGUAAACGAUGAAUGCUAAGUGUUGGAGGGUUUCCGCCCUUCAGUGCUGCAGCUAACGCAUUAAGCAUUCCGCCUGGGGAGUACGGCCGCAAGGCUGAAACUCAAAGGAACUGACGGGGGCCCGCACAAGCGGUGGAGCAUGUGGUUUAAUUCGAAGCUACGCGAAGAACCUUACCAGGUCUUGACAUACUAUGCAAAUCUAAGAGAUUAGACGUUCCCUUCGGGGACAUGGAUACAGGUGGUGCAUGGUUGUCGUCAGCUCGUGUCGUGAGAUGUUGGGUUAAGUCCCGCAACGAGCGCAACCCUUAUUAUCAGUUGCCAGCAUUAAGUUGGGCACUCUGGUGAGACUGCCGGUGACAAACCGGAGGAAGGUGGGGAUGACGUCAAAUCAUCAUGCCCCUUAUGACCUGGGCUACACACGUGCUACAAUGGAUGGUACAACGAGUUGCGAACUCGCGAGAGUAAGCUAAUCUCUUAAAGCCAUUCUCAGUUUGGAUUGUAGGCUGCAACUCGCCUACAUGAAGUCGGAAUCGCUAGUAAUCGCGGAUCAGCAUGCCGCGGUGAAUACGUUCCCGGGCCUUGUACACACCGCCCGUCACACCAUGAGAGUUUGUAACACCCAAAGUCGGUGGGGUAACCUUUUAGGAACCAGCCGCCUAAGGUGGGACAGAUGAUUAGGGUGAAGUCGUAACAAGGUAAGUCCGUAA